CAGUCGCCGCGGGAAUACGGAGGGUGCAAGCGUUAUCCGGAUUUAUUGGGUUUAAAGGGUCCGUAGGCGGACUUUUAAGUCAGUGGUGAAAGCCUGUCGCUUAACGAUAGAACUGCCAUUGAUACUGUAAGUCUUGAGUAUAUUUGAGGUAGCUGGAAUAAGUAGUGUAGCGGUGAAAUGCAUAGAUAUUACUUAGAACUCCAAUUGCGAAGGCAGGUUACCAAGAUAUAACUGACGCUGAGGGACGAAAGCGUGGGUAGCGAACAGGAUUAGAUACCCCGGCAGUCCCUGUCUCUUAUAC
Molecule: ribosomal RNA, 301 nt
Filed under: uncultured bacterium
Lineage: Bacteria
Description: partial 16S ribosomal RNA
Rfam family: Bacterial small subunit ribosomal RNA
Source: RNAcentral